This 484-nucleotide ribosomal RNA is filed under the name uncultured bacterium. Its description in RNAcentral is "partial 16S ribosomal RNA". It matches the Rfam family "Bacterial small subunit ribosomal RNA", at positions 30 to 507 of the family's 1533-position model. The record is from RNAcentral.
AUUGAACGCUGGCGGCAGGCCUAACACAUGCAAGUCGAGCGGAUGAAGGGAGCUUGCUCCUGGAUUCAGCGGCGGACGGGUGAGUAAUGCCUAGGAAUCUGCCUGGUAGUGGGGGAUAACGUCCGGAAACGGGCGCUAAUACCGCAUACGUCCUGAGGGAGAAAGUGGGUGAUCUUCGGACCUCACGCUAUCAGAUGAGCCUAGGUCGGAUUAGCUAGUUGGUGGGGUAAAGGCCUACCAAGGCGACGAUCCGUAACUGGUCUGAGAGGAUGAUCAGUCACACUGGAACUGAGACACGGUCCAGACUCCUACGGGAGGCAGCAGUGGGGAAUAUUGGACCAUGGGCGAAAGCCUGAUCCAGCCAUGCCGCGUGUGUGAAGAAGGUCUUCGGAUUGUAAAGAACUUUAAGUUGGGAGGAAGGGCAGUAAGUUAAUAUCUUGCUGUUUUGACGUUACCAACCGAAUAAGCCCCGGCUAACUUCGUG